RNAcentral lists this ribosomal RNA (253 nucleotides) under uncultured bacterium. RNAcentral describes it as "partial 16S ribosomal RNA". It matches the Rfam family "Bacterial small subunit ribosomal RNA", at positions 524 to 776 of the family's 1533-position model. The record is from RNAcentral.
UACGAAGGGGGCUAGCGUUGCUCGGAAUCACUGGGCGUAAAGCGCACGUAGGCGGGUCUUUAAGUCAGGGGUGAAAUCCUGGAGCUCAACUCCAGAACUGCCUUUGAUACUGAGGACCUCGAGUCCGGGAGAGGUGAGUGGAACUCCGAGUGUAGAGGUGAAAUUCGUAGAUAUUCGGAAGAACACCAGUGGCGAAGGCGGCUCACUGGCCCGGUACUGACGCUGAGGUGCGAAAGCGUGGGGAGCAAACAGG